This 301-nucleotide ribosomal RNA is filed under the name uncultured bacterium. RNAcentral's name for it is "partial 16S ribosomal RNA". It matches the Rfam family "Bacterial small subunit ribosomal RNA", at positions 509 to 807 of the family's 1533-position model. The record is from RNAcentral.
CAGCCGCCGCGGUAAUACGAAGGGGGCUAGCGUUGCUCGGAAUGACUGGGCGUAAAGGGCGCGUAGGCGGCGAUCAAAGUCAGGCGUGAAAUUCCUGGGCUCAACCUGGGGGCUGCGUUUGAUACUUGGUUGCUAGAGUGAGGAAGAGGGUCGUGGAAUUCCCAGUGUAGAGGUGAAAUUCGUAGAUAUUGGGAAGAACACCGGUGGCGAAGGCGGCGACCUGGUCCUUGACUGACGCUGAGGCGCGAAAGCGUGGGGAGCAAACAGGAUUAGAUACCCCAGUAGUCCCUGUCUCUUAUAC